CAACUUUCAACAACGGAUCUCUUUGCUCUUGCAUCGAUGAAGAACGCAGCGAAAUGCGAUAAGUAAUGUGAAUUGCAGAAUUCCGUGAAUCAUCAAAUCUUUGAACGCAAAUUGCACUCUUUGGUAUUCCGAAGAGUAUGCUUGUUUGAGGGUUGUU
Molecule: ribosomal RNA, 157 nt
Filed under: uncultured Acaulospora
Lineage: Eukaryota; Fungi; Glomeromycota; Glomeromycetes; Diversisporales; Acaulosporaceae
Description: 5.8S ribosomal RNA
Rfam family: 5.8S ribosomal RNA
About the family: 5.8S ribosomal RNA (5.8S rRNA) is a component of the large subunit of the eukaryotic ribosome. It is transcribed by RNA polymerase I as part of the 45S precursor that also contains 18S and 28S rRNA. Functionally, it is thought that 5.8S rRNA may be involved in ribosome translocation.
Source: RNAcentral